Molecule: ribosomal RNA, 756 nt
Filed under: Pruinomycena tortuosa
Lineage: Eukaryota; Fungi; Basidiomycota; Agaricomycetes; Agaricales
Description: Hemimycena tortuosa eukaryotic LSU rRNA
Rfam family: 5.8S ribosomal RNA (bases 338-491)
Source: RNAcentral
GGUUUCCGUAGGUGAACCUGCGGAAGGAUCAUUAUUGAAGUUGAACCACCGGUUGUUGCUGGCUCUCAGGAGCAUGUGCACGCUGGUAUCACUUUACCUUUCCCCUUUGUGCACCUUUGGCUAGUUCACAUGUGUGGUUUCAGAAAGUGAGAGACUUAGUGCUUAACGCACUAUAACUUGUUGAUCUUUCGCCUUGAUGAGUUUAGAGCUUUGCGCCUUAGCUUUGCUUGUUGACAACUUGGAUAGGUUUACUACUAGUGUUCUAUGCACCCUUUAUAAACGUAUGUCUAUGAAUGUCAUUGUUUACUAGGUCUCAGUACCUGUAAAUCAUCUAUACAACUUUUAGCAACGGAUCUCUUGGCUCUCGCAUCGAUGAAGAACGCAGCGAAAUGCGAUAAGUAAUGUGAAUUGCAGAAUUCAGUGAAUCAUCGAAUCUUUGAACGCACCUUGCACCCUUUGGUAUUCCGAAGGGUAUGCCUGUUUGAGUGUCAUUUAAUUCUCAACCAUUGAAGUUUUUACCGACUUGCUUUGGCUUGGAUGUGGAGGUUGCAGGUCUCGUCAAGAGAUCAGCUCCUCUUAAAAGCAUUAGUGAGGACCGUUUGUAGGGGUUCAUCCAUUAUUCACUUGGGCGUGAUAAUUUAUCGUCGUCUCUAAMGAAUAAGAACUCUGAGGCUCUUGCUUUCGAACUGUCUGGCUUCAUUGCUAAGACUGUCCUUUUGGGCAUAUCUUUUAUUUGACCUCAAAUCAGGUAGGACU